RNAcentral lists this ribosomal RNA (117 nucleotides) under Ktedonobacteraceae bacterium. Lineage: Bacteria; Bacillati; Chloroflexota; Ktedonobacteria; Ktedonobacterales; Ktedonobacteraceae. The record is from RNAcentral.
GGUGGUGACAAUAGCGGAGGGGAAACACCCGUUCCCAUCCCGAACACGGAAGUUAAGCCCUCCAGCCCUGACGAUACUUUGCGGGCAACUGCAUGGGAAAAUAAGACGUUGCCACUC